GGCCUAACACAUGCAAGUCGAAUGGUAACAGGAAACAGCUUGCUGUUUCGCUGACGAGUGGCGGACGGGUGAGUAAUGUCUGGGAAACUGCCUGAUGGAGGGGGAUAACUACUGGAAACGGUAGCUAAUACCGCAUAACGUCGCAAGACCAAAGAGGGGGACCUUCGGGCCUCUUGCCAUCAGAUGUGCCCAGAUGGGAUUAGCUAGUAGGUGGGGUAACGGCUCACCUAGGCGACGAUCCCUAGCUGGUCUGAGAGGAUGACCAGCCACACUGGAACUGAGACACGGUCCAGACUCCUACGGGAGGCAGCAGUGGGGAAUAUUGCACAAUGGGCGCAAGCCUGAUGCAGCCAUGCCGCGUGUAUGAAGAAGGCCUUCGGGUUGUAAAGUACUUUCAGCGGGGAGGAAGGGAGUAAAGUUAAUACCUUUGCUCAUUGACGUUACCCGCAGAAGAAGCACCGGCUAACUCCGUGCCAGCAGCCGCGGUAAUACGGAGGGUGCAAGCGUUAAUCGGAAUUACUGGGCGUAAAGCGCACGCAGGCGGUUUGUUAAGUCAGAUGUGAAAUCCCCGGGCUCAACCUGGGAACUGCAUCUGAUACUGGCAAGCUUGAGUCUCGUAGAGGGGGGUAGAAUUCCAGGUGUAGCGGUGAAAUGCGUAGAGAUCUGGAGGAAUACCGGUGGCGAAGGCGGCCCCCUGGACGAAGACUGACGCUCAGGUGCGA
Molecule: ribosomal RNA, 722 nt
Filed under: uncultured Pseudomonadota bacterium
Lineage: Bacteria; Pseudomonadati; Pseudomonadota
Description: bacterial SSU rRNA
Rfam family: Bacterial small subunit ribosomal RNA
Source: RNAcentral